This 159-nucleotide ribosomal RNA is filed under the name uncultured zygomycete. RNAcentral describes it as "5.8S ribosomal RNA". It matches the Rfam family "5.8S ribosomal RNA". From Rfam's summary of the family: 5.8S ribosomal RNA (5.8S rRNA) is a component of the large subunit of the eukaryotic ribosome. It is transcribed by RNA polymerase I as part of the 45S precursor that also contains 18S and 28S rRNA. Lineage: Eukaryota; Fungi. The record is from RNAcentral.
CAACUUUCAACAACGGAUCUCUUGGUUCUGGCAUCGAUGAAGAACGCAGCGAAAUGCGAUAAGUAGUGUGAAUUGCAGAAUUCAGUGAAUCAUCGAAUCUUUGAACGCACAUUUGCGCCCCUUGGUAUUCCAUGGGGCAUGCCUGUUCGAGCGUCAUUU